RNAcentral lists this long non-coding RNA (5446 nucleotides) under Sus scrofa (pig). RNAcentral describes it as "lncRNA (ENSSSCG00000057489.1)". Lineage: Eukaryota; Metazoa; Chordata; Mammalia; Artiodactyla; Suidae. The record is from RNAcentral.
AGGGGUUGAUGGAAUGCCAGCAGAGAGACCAGAUAGGAGAUUGUGGUGGUAAUUUGAACAAGUGAUCAUAAACAAUCUAACUCUCACCCUUAGUACUCCUGUUGACCUGAAGAAGAUGCAGACAUGAGGCAUACAAUCCACAAUAGAAGCCCACAGAUCCUUAAACUAUAUAUGGGCAUCAGGAAUUCAUAAGCCCCCGAAAGUGAAGACUGAUUUGGUUCAUGCAAUAUGUAUACUUCACUGGAAAGAUAGGUAUAACAUAUUCUCAAAGGGUGAAUCACCCCCUUCCCUCCAAUUUUUAACAUCUGCACCAAAAGCCUGAAGAAGUUGAGGCAGUUUCUCUAGUGCCUAACACCACACCUAGGGAAACCCCAUCUUCCUAGAUAAUUAGGUCAGGGCUUUACACAGAAGAGAAAUGAUUUUUUGAGACGUGUAUCUUUUGGCUAAAAUCAAUGUAGAUUUGUAACUCUACAGAAGCAGUGGUAAUUGUGACUCUCCCAGCAGAAUUUAAGCAACAAUUUAUAAAAGUUUAGAGAGAAAGUCUUUUGGUGGUAGAGGUGAAGAAACAUUGAAAAAUGGCACAUUUGAUUGACAGUCUUUGAUAUAAUCAGGACUUGCUGGGAUUUCUAAGACACAACAUAGCAGCAAAGUCCAGUUUAUCUUAACUCUUAACGUACAUUAUUGAGAUGUAAUCUACACUAGUAUAAUUUUUCCUUGUAAGGAACCAAAAUGCUAUGUGUUUCAGAAAACAGUACAAAUAGCUAGUAGUCUCAAAAUGACUCAGAUGAUUUAAUCUGGAAUAUUGUUGCAUAAAUGAUUUAUAAGAUAACUAGUAGGACUAUUUUAUAUCAAUAUCAAGAUUGUCUGAUCUUAAUCAGAAUCACCAGUGAAAUGUGUAUUUCACUGCUAUUGCUAUGUAGGUACUAAGUAUCCAGCUGCAUACUGGAAACUACAGACAUUUACAAAAAGAUGCCAACUGGAUGAUACAAAAUACAGCUUGGAGCAUAAAUGCUGCCUUCUAAAUGCAAUGUGCUUAUUGAUUACUUUCUAUAAAAUAAAUCCUCAGUUAUUGAGAAUUGGGACUCUGGUGUCUUAAACAUACUUUGUUCUCAUAUUUUGGAGAAAUAACGCCUAUUUAUGCUGAGAUUUUACUAUAAUUUUGAUUUACUUUUUGUUUAGUAAUUCAUGGAUAUAUACAUAUUUAUAUUUAUACACACAUAUUUAUCACAUAUACACAUAAAUAUGUAAAUUACAAAGCAAAAUUUAUAAUGAAUAGCCAAUCUAAGUACUGGGAUAUUGGCCAAGUUUUCAUCUACCUGUAUCUCCUUUCCUACUUCACCUGUUUUUCUCUCUUUAGAGCUAAUGACUAAGGUUACCUAUUUUGCCUAUUGUAUAAAUACAAUGUCUUGUAUUUAUUAUUCAUAUACUUUUUGAUAAAAUAGCUGUUUUAUAUAUAUCAUAUAUUUGAUAUAUAUUCUGAAAUAAUAAACUAUCUUUUUUUACUUAUUUUUAAGCUUAGAAAAUAAUAUUAAAUACAUGCAGUUUUCUGGGACUUUCUCUUUACUUACUCUUACGUUCAUUUAUUUCUCAUCAGUAUAUAAUAUUUCAUUGAGUGAAUAUUCUACAAUCUAUAUAUCCAUUCUUUUAUCAUUAGACACUACAAUUCUAAUGGUUCCAAUUUGAAAAUUGUGAAAAUGUCUUAACUGCAUUUUGCAAAUAAUUUUUUAUUCUCAUUUCCAUCAUCUAAAAUGACCGUGUCUAGGAGUUCCCGUCGUGGCGCAGCAGAAACGAAUCAGACUAGGAACUAUGAGGUUGAGGGUUUGAUCCCUGGCCUCUCCCAGUGGGUUAAAGAUCUGGCAUUUCUGUGAGUUGUGGUGUAGGUUGCAGACGCAGCUCAGAUCCUGCAUUGCCAUGGCUAUGGCGUAGGCUGGCACCUGUAGCUCUGAUUCGACCCCUAGCCUGGGAACUUCCAUAUGCCAUGGGUACAGCCCUAAAAAGCAAUAAAAUAAAAUGACCGUGUCUAGACUGAAUCUACUUCUCUGUAGGUAUAGAUAGUAAGACUGUUUCAGAACUGAUCCUAACUUUUGACUAUUAUUUUUUCUUCCUGGAAAUAUUUCUCCUAUCAGCUGACUCUCUGGCUAGUCACUUAUUCCCUUGUUUACACAGUAAAGAAAGACAAGCCGUAGGACACUUUUGGUGGUAUAUAGGGCCACCUUCCUAGACAAAAAUGUAUUAAAUGAAAGGCCAAAGCGUCUUUGUUUCAGGAGAUGUUUUUGUGAUCUGGAAAAAAAAUCCUUUUUUAUUGGUUGGACUGGCAACAGUCUUUUUUCACCAGCACAAAAAUAUAUUUUUUGUCUAUAAAUCUACAGAGCACAGGCAGGGCCUUCAGCUCCCUGUUUUGUCUCCUUUGCUUGGAGAUUGUGGAUAGGAUGUGAAAGGAGAUUGCCCUUCAGUACAGCAGGUAUUUUUUGUGAGAGUGUUUUGGAAAAAGUGUUUAUCCUGAGCUCAUAUAAUCUAAUCAUCACCAGCAGUCACAACUCCAACAUCAUCACUGUUACUACCUUUGUCAGAAUUAUCUGUAAACAUGAGACCUGGUAGUUUUUCUAUGCUUUAACAUCCAAUGUUAAAAAGAACUCUAGAUAUUAAGUAACACUCAAGUUUGAAUCUUGAGUGUUUGUAUUUUGAAGUAUUUUUUAUAAAAAUGUUGGAUACUUUGAAUAAUACCUUGAUCCGCUGAUAACUAUAAAGAGAUGAUAUCUUCAAACAUAAAAAUGCAGGAGUUCCCUUGUAGUGCAAAGGGUUAAAGAUCUGGUGUUGCCACUGCAGCGCCUUGGGUUGCUGCUGUGGUGCAGGUUCGAUCUCUAGCCUGAGAACUUCCACAUGUGGUGGGAGUGGCCAAAAAAACCCACAUCAAAAUGUAAAAAAAAAAUAACUAACUUCGCUUCCUUAUUAUAAGCAUUAUAAUCAGUAACAUGACAAAUCUUUUCAAGUGAAUUCAGGGUAAUCACAUUUCAAAAAAAUUGAGCAAAUCUGAAAAAAAUAGGUAUUUGUCCAUCUGUGAAUAUACUCUAUAAGCAGAAAUCAUUACAUUAUGAUCACAUAUUCCAGGUACUUAAAUUUUUUUUUGCUGAUAUAUCAGCACGUGAUUAAAAAAUACAUACACCUUAGAGUUCCCAUUGUGGCUCAGUGGUUAAUGAAUCCGACUAGGAACCAUGAGAUUGCGGGUUUGAUCCCUGGCCUUGCUCAGUGGGUUAAGGAUCUGGCGUUGCCAUGAGCUGUGGUGUAGGUUGCAGACACGGCUCAGAUUCAGCAUUGCUGUGGCUCUGGAGUAGGCCAGCAGCUAUAGCUCCGAUUAGACCCCUAGCCUGGGAACAUCCAUAUGCCAUGGGAGCAGCCCUAGAAACGAUAAAAAGAUAACAACAACAACAACAAAAAUACAUACACCUACAUACUCACUGCAUUCUAUUAUUUGCUUAAACCAAGGGGCAGUAUGGUUAACUGGCCACCACAAGAAUAGCAUUUGACAAGACUGCAAAAAAGAUCCUGACAUAGUGCUGGGAAACUGUUCCAGGAUAGAAUGGGCUCAAAGAUACAUAUUCUGAAAUGCUUACAACACUUUACUUCAGUGUAGCUGCUAAAUAUUUCUGAAUGUUUAUUUCAUUUCCAUUUUUAGUGCUAUAUCUUUUGCUAACAUAUACAAACUAAAAUUCUGAAAUUACAACAUUUCAGCCACCUACAAUUUCCAAUAAAUUUAUUUUGCUUAUUCAUAGGGCAUUGUUGCCUAUAUUGGAAGUGCUGGCAUGUGCUUUCAUGGGAAAAUACAGUGCUAUUCCCACAAUAUUCUCCAUAGGGAAAAUACCAGCCAGCAGGCAUACUACUCCUUGUCUGUUUCCCAUUAUCUAAUAUACAAUACACCCAUACCUACAAUUUUAUUAUUUCCUCUCUCUAGUUACUAUGGACAAAGAACCCCUCCUCCUUCCAAAGGUGCAACUCUUCAAAUUUUCUGAAUCUUAACCCCCUCCCCUUUCUGAGAGACAUUUCCAUCAGUUAUUACAUAAACACACACACACUAAUACACACAUACAAUCUUCUAAAUUUUCACUUACUCUCUUUUUGCUAUACCCUUGCCAUCAACAUUUAAAUAAACUGCCAAACAGGGUGAGCAAACACAAACCCUUGAUACUAUGAUGCCAUGCCCUCGAGCUACAGUCUUACCUCUUUACUGUCUUUCACAGAAAGCCCAUGCUGUCCCUCCCUCUCUCCCUCCACAUUAUCAUUACUGUUCUUUAUUAUUUUAAAUUUGAAUUAUGAAUGAAUUUUCUCCCUUCCUUCUUUUCUUUGUCCCUCUUCAACUAUACCUACCACCCUACCACCGUAUCAUCCACAUGUUUCUUGCUAAAUUCAUUAGUGACCAACAUGUUGCCAAAUUCAAGAAAUGCUUUUCAACCCUAAUCUUAUUUUGCAGCAGCUUUCAGCACAGUUGCUUUUGCCUUUCUUCUUGCAACAUUUCCUUCUCUUGGCUUCCAUGAUCCCAGUUCUCAUGAUUUUCUUUCCAGCCUUCUGUCUGCACCUCAGUUUCUUUUGUAGCCUCCUUUGUAUCUUCCUGAUUUAUAAAUGUUGGAGUGCCUCAGACUCAAUUCAGGUCCCCUUUCCUUGCCUUUUUAUAUUGUCUUAUCAGGUUAUCUCACUCACUGUUCUGGUUUCAGAGACCACAUGCAAGCCAAGGCAUUAUGUCUUCCUCUUCAGCUCCCUGCUAAGCUCUAGAUCCAAACUUUCAGAUGUUAUGUGCACAUUUUCAUUGGAAUCCAGGGACUCAGCUGUAGAUUACACAUAAAACCCCUUUAAUAUCCACCUCCACCAGCAACCACAUGAACUACUUGUGGUUCUGUGCUCAGAACUCUUUGGAUAAUUGAAGUUGUCCACUACAGGUGGAUGGCUAGAAGCCCUGUGUAUUUCUGAGAGUAAAUAGCAAUGAAUAAUUAUAAAGAAUAAAGGGAGACAUGCAACUCUAACAUAGCCCUUCUUCCUUUUCAUAAUAUUCAGCUAUGAUGAUGAUGGAAGUUUUUAUAGUUAACGGACCAACCAAUAACAAUACCUCUCUGGUAUGUUCAUACUUUUUCUAAUUAGCAGAGGUUGCUCUCUAAGAAGUCUUCUGAUUAUUUUUUUAUUUUUUUAUUAAAGUAUAGUUGAUUUAGGAGGAGUUCCCGUCAUGGCAUAGUGGUUAAAACGAAUCCAACUAGGAACCAUGAGGUUCGGGUUCAAUCCCUGGCCUUGCUCAGUGGGCUAAGGAUCUGGCAUUGCCGUGAGCUGUGGUGUAGGUCACAGACGCGGCUCAGAUCCUGCAUUGCUGUGGCUGUGGCAUAGGCCUUUGGCUACUGCUCCGAUUAGACCCCUAGCCUGGGAACCUCCAUGUGCCACAGGAAGCAGCCCUAGGAAAAGCAAACAG